GGAUCAUUAUCGAGUUAUUCAACUCCCAAACCCUAUGUGAACUUACCACUUGUUGCUUCGGCGCGCGCUUCGGCGCCGCCGAGGACACUUAAACUCUUUGUUUUUAUAAGCAUUUCUGAGUGGCCGAAAGGCAAAAAUACAAAUGAAUCAAAACUUUCAACAACGGAUCUCUUGGUUCUGGCAUCGAUGGAGAACGCAGCGAAAUGCGAUAAGUAAUGUGAAUUGCAGAAUUCAGUGAAUCAUCGAAUCUUUGAACGCACAUUGCGCCCGCCAGCAUUCUGGCGGGCAUGCCUGUUCGAGCGUCAUUUCAACCCUCGAGCCCGACUCUUUUGAGGACGGCUCGGCGUUGGGGGACGGCAGACUCCCCCCGGCAUCUCGCCGGGGACGCCGCCCCCGAAAUCUAGUGGCGGCCCUCCGAGGCGACCUCUGCGUAGUAACUUGUUCUCGCACCGGAAAGCUCAGAGCGGCCACGCCGUAAAACCCCAACUUUUUUCAGGUCGACCUCGAAUCAGGUAGGACUACCCGCUGAACUUAAGCAUAUCAWUAAGCGGAGGAAAAGAAACCAACAGGGACUGCCCCAGUAACGGCGAGUGAAGCGGCAACAGCUCAAAUUUGAAAUCUGGCCCCUAGGGUCCGAGUUGUAAUUUGCAGAGGAUGCUUUUGACAAGGUGCCUUCCGAGUUCCCUGGAACGGGACGCCAUAGAGGGUGAGAGCCCCGUCUGGUCGGAUACCGCGUCUCUGUAAAGCUCCUUCGACGAGUCGAGUUGUUUGGGAAUGCAGCUCAAAAUGGGUGGUAAAUUCCAUCUAAAGCUAAAUAUUGGGGAGAGACCGAUAGCGAACAAGUACCGUGAGGGAAAGAUGAAAAGAACUUUGGAAAGAGAGUUAAACAGUACGUGAAAUUGCUGAAAGGGAAACGCUUGAAGUCAGUCGCGUCGUUCGGGAUUCAGCCUUGCUUUUGCUUGGUGUACUUCCUGUUCGACGGGUCAGCAUCAGUUUUGGCCGGUGGAUAAGGGCUCAGAGAAUGUGGCACCUUCGGGUGUGUUAUAGCUUUGGGUCGCAUACAUCGGCUGGGACUGAGGAACUCAGCACGCCGCAAGGCCGGGUUUCGACCACGU
Molecule: ribosomal RNA, 1115 nt
Filed under: uncultured fungus
Lineage: Eukaryota; Fungi
Description: eukaryotic LSU rRNA
Rfam family: Eukaryotic large subunit ribosomal RNA (bases 499-1115)
Source: RNAcentral